Molecule: ribosomal RNA, 199 nt
Filed under: uncultured bacterium
Lineage: Bacteria
Description: partial 16S ribosomal RNA
Rfam family: Bacterial small subunit ribosomal RNA
Source: RNAcentral
CAGUCUGCAACUCGACUGCAUGAAGUCGGAAUCGCUAGUAAUCNCGGAUCAGCAUGCCGCGGUGAAUACGUUCCCGGGCCUUGUACACACCGCCCGUCACACCAUGAGAGUCGGGAACACCCGAAGUCCGUAGCCUAACCGCAAGGGGGCGCGGCCGAAGGUGGGUUCGAUAAUUGGGGUGAAGUCGUAACAAGGUAAC